GCCCAUGUAGCUCAAUUGGAAGAGCGAGGGAUUUCUAAGCCCGAGGUUGCAGGUUCAAGUCCUGCCAUGGGUACCA
RNAcentral lists this transfer RNA (76 nucleotides) under Nitrosomonadaceae bacterium. RNAcentral's name for it is "tRNA-Arg". It matches the Rfam family "tRNA". Rfam says of the family: Transfer RNA (tRNA) molecules are approximately 80 nucleotides in length. Their secondary structure includes four short double-helical elements and three loops (D, anti-codon, and T loops). Further hydrogen bonds mediate the characteristic L-shaped molecular structure. tRNAs have two regions of fundamental functional importance: the anti-codon, which is responsible for specific mRNA codon recognition, and the 3' end, to which the tRNAs corresponding amino acid is attached (by aminoacyl-tRNA synthetases). tRNAs cope with the degeneracy of the genetic code in two manners: having more than one tRNA (with a specific anti-codon) for a particular amino acid; and 'wobble' base-pairing, i.e. permitting non-standard base-pairing at the 3rd anti-codon position. Lineage: Bacteria; Pseudomonadati; Pseudomonadota; Betaproteobacteria; Nitrosomonadales; Nitrosomonadaceae. The record is from RNAcentral.